This 77-nucleotide non-coding RNA is filed under the name Elusimicrobiota bacterium. Its description in RNAcentral is "Elusimicrobia bacterium c-di-GMP sequence". It matches the Rfam family "c-di-GMP-I riboswitch aptamer". Rfam says of the family: GEMM was predicted in a large-scale screen for bacterial structured RNA regulatory elements. The record is from RNAcentral. Lineage: Bacteria; Pseudomonadati; Elusimicrobiota.
CUCUAAAAAGAGCAAAUCCGCUGUAAGGCGGAGACGCAAAGCCAUGAGUCCUUAUCAAGGAUUGUCAGGUUACUAAA